AGUCCGUUGGGGUAGUGGCCAAUCCUCUCGGAUUCUGGGUCCGAGGACCCUGGUUCGAAUCCAGGACGGACUA
Molecule: transfer RNA, 73 nt
Filed under: Haloferacaceae archaeon
Lineage: Archaea; Methanobacteriati; Methanobacteriota; Halobacteria; Halobacteriales; Haloferacaceae
Also listed under: 1 other name
Description: tRNA-Gln
Rfam family: tRNA
About the family: Transfer RNA (tRNA) molecules are approximately 80 nucleotides in length. Their secondary structure includes four short double-helical elements and three loops (D, anti-codon, and T loops).
Source: RNAcentral